Molecule: ribosomal RNA, 500 nt
Filed under: uncultured haloarchaeon
Lineage: Archaea; Methanobacteriati; Methanobacteriota; Halobacteria; Halobacteriales; Halobacteriaceae
Description: bacterial SSU rRNA
Rfam family: Archaeal small subunit ribosomal RNA
Source: RNAcentral
AGGGGAUCCCAAGUGCGAGGGCAUAUCGCCCUCGCUUUUCUGCACCGUAAGGAGGUGCAGGAACAAGAGCUGGGCAAGACCGGUGCCAGCCGCCGCGGUAAUACCGGCAGCACGAGUGAUGGCCGAUCUUAUUGGGCCUAAAGCGUCCGUAGCCGGCCGGGCAAGUCCAUCGGGAAAUCCAGUCGCUCAACGACUGGGCGUCCGGUGGAAACUGCCCGGCUUGGGACCGGAAGACCCAACGGGUACGUCCGGGGUAGGAGUGAAAUCCCGUAAUCCUGGACGGACCACCGAUGGCGAAAGCACGUUGGGAAGACGGAUCCGACGGUGAGGGACGAAAGCUAGGGUCUCGAACCGGAUUAGAUACCCGGGUAGUCCUAGCUGUAAACGAUGUUCACUAGGUGUGGCACAGGCUACGAGCCUGUGCUGUGCCGUAGGGAAGCCGCUAAGUGAACCGCCUGGGAAGUACGUCUGCAAGGAUGAAACUUAAAGGAAUUGGCGGG